Molecule: ribosomal RNA, 360 nt
Filed under: Ruditapes variegatus
Lineage: Eukaryota; Metazoa; Mollusca; Bivalvia; Venerida; Veneridae
Description: partial 16S ribosomal RNA
Rfam family: Bacterial large subunit ribosomal RNA
Source: RNAcentral
GCAAUGAGAGUUGUGCUAAGGUAGCGCGAUAAUUUGUCUCUUAAUUGGAGAAUGGUAUGAAAGGUUUGUCAUAGAGCGGUUGUCUCUAAAAAAUUAAGUGAAAUUUCUUUUUAAAUGAAAAGGUUUAAAUAAAAAUAAAAGACGAGAAGACCCUGUCGAGCUAGAUUAAGAAGAAAGCUAGUCUUGGCUAGCUUGUUUUGUAAGAGUAGUUGGGGAAGGUUGGACUUUAAAUAAUAAGUUCAUAUUAAACAUAGAUCCUUUUUGAAAGAAAGUUGGCAAAAGCUACCGGAGGGAUAACAGCGUGAUUUUUCUUAAGAGAUCGUAUUGAGGGAAAAGUUUGCGACCUCGAUGUUGGAUUAU